Molecule: long non-coding RNA, 2218 nt
Organism: Metopolophium dirhodum (rose-grain aphid)
Lineage: Eukaryota; Metazoa; Arthropoda; Insecta; Hemiptera; Aphididae
Exons: 6
Source: RefSeq, a predicted model, not a curated record
CAGUAUAGUAGAUAUAUAGACUGAGUAGUAUUUUCUAUAAAUAAAUAUGGUAGUUAUACUAUGGUUAUACUUAUAGACUUGUAAAGUAUUUGUAAAUUAUAUUUAAUCACAAUUGAUAAUGAACACAUAAUUGGUAACAAUUUUAAUUUCAAUGUAGGUACUUGCAGUAUACCUAUAAUAUGUUACUUAUAUGAAUAUACAGAUAUAUAUAUUAUAUACUAUUAGUAUAUAUCUGUGUAUGAAUAUGAUAUAUUAUCAAGAAAAUGUGUUAAACUUACUCAAAACAGUCAAAAAACAGUCAAAUCCCAAGUUAAAUUGAAAUGUGUGUCAUACCAAGAAAAUUAGUUUAAUUUUGUUUAAUUUGUUAAAAAAUAAAAAAUUUAAAUAGAUUUCUAUUCCAGCUCUACAAAGUGGACAGCGGUAGUAUGGCCUGUGCUCAUUCGGAGGCAUUCUUGAAUAGCUAUCAUGACAAGCUCCACAUAGGCCUUGGUGUAAGCAUGGAUACGCUACUACUAUUGGUGGACUGUACAAACAUAUGUAACAUGUUUCCUCUACUAUUGACAAUUACUACUUACUUGUCAAAUCAACACGUUCAAUGUAAAUAACUGAUGGUAUCACAGACUGUUCGUUAGACACAUCUUCAUCUGAAUAAUCUGCAUCAGCAUCGAGAUUAUAAAAAACUAAAGACAAGCGAUUUAUUUAUUAGUAUAUUUUAUUGGAAAUCUUUAUAAGUAAUAUUAUAAUGAAAAAUCAUACGAUCUCGAGGAACGGGCAUUGCUGGUCUACGUGUGGUGCCUGUGGUAAAGCAGUAGCAGGGAGUACAGGAAUAGCUGGAAGUUGCAGUUCCCGAUGCUGAUCAACGGGGAGUGGUAAUAAAGCUAGUGGAGCUUGUGGAAAGACAGCAGCAGGAAGUAUUACAAUAGCUUGGUGUUGAGGCCGUAUUACACCAAAAUUUGGUGUUGAAUGCCUAGCACAUAUUAAAAAUUCUGACAUUGAGUAGCGUCCUUCUAUAAACAGCCUCAAUGAUCUAUCUAAAUUCCUUUGCUGAUCUAUCCAAACUUGUCGUUGAGGUUCUCUUACUUGUCCUCCAUCAGUAGCCUCAUUAUAAUCGUUCAAAACACCAUUCGAUGUUAAAUAAAUAAAAAUAUAAUUACUCAAGAACACCCAUGGCUCAGGAUUGUGCCGAUUUUGCAUGUGCAUCUGGAGAUGUCGGUGACUUACUUCCAACACAUUGUUGGUUCGCCAAACCGUGUCACUCACCGACAAUAUAUCUGCAUUUAUUCCUAUUGGCAAUGGUGUAGGACCUGCAAGCCAAGUUGAUCUAUAAUAUUCAAAUAAUAAUGUAAAAUUAUAAUCAUUAUUAUUGCUGAUCAAUGAUUGCACAUUCUCAAUAUAGUAUGCCCUUACAGUUUCAAAACCUUCAGCUAUAUAAUUUGUCGGCAGCAAAGGCAAUGCCAUCAACAUAUGCACAGUGUCAUAGGCUCCUCGAUGGUUACUACAUAUAUCAAUCAAUCCUAAAUAUUAACCAGUGUUAUUAAUUGACUAUAUAUUUAAUUUAUUAUUAAUUACAAAUUCCGAUUUUAAAGUAAUCUUACCUAUAUUUGCAACUUUUCUCCAUACCGCUUGGGAGGAAUGAAACCAACAGCCUCUAAUAGUGGUAUUUGGAAACAUUGUUCUUAUAGCAGCAAUAGCUGCCCUUUCAAAAUCAACUAUUAUGGUUUGAGGUUGCCACUCUGGUACUAUGUUUAAAAUCUUAUUGAAAAGCGCCGUGUAUGCCCUUUCCGUUUUCCUCGACAUCAAUGCAAAACCUAUAGGAAAUCCCUGAAAAAAUAUUUUAAUAAAUAGAUUUUUAAAAAAAGUAACUUAAAAUAAUCUAAUUAGUAAAAUAGUUAUUUUAUAAUUUACUAUUAUUUAUUUACAAAUUACAUACAAAACUUACAGUAUUAAAUGUUAUGCCCAUUAUGAUGUAUAAUUGGUGGCAUUCGUUUCCAAAACUUGGUGAACUAGAAAAUGUGCCAUCCAACAAAAAAGUAGAACCAGUCCUAAGUAAACUAAAUUAAUUGUAUAAUAUUAUUGUAAUUAUUAUUUAUUUGAAAUAAAGUUUAUUAUAUUUUAUAGUUGUAUACUUUUUGAUUCCAGGCAAAAUGAAAAAUAAAGUGGUUCCUUCUUCUAAAGUUGCACCAACAAUGCCAGAGUAUAUUGGUUCAUUUUGUAUCAU